UUUGUUGGGUAAAUCGUUAUC
This 21-nucleotide non-coding RNA is filed under the name Caenorhabditis elegans. The record is from RNAcentral. Lineage: Eukaryota; Metazoa; Nematoda; Chromadorea; Rhabditida; Rhabditidae.